This 454-nucleotide ribosomal RNA is filed under the name uncultured Arcobacter sp. RNAcentral's name for it is "bacterial SSU rRNA". It matches the Rfam family "Bacterial small subunit ribosomal RNA", at positions 930 to 1382 of the family's 1533-position model. Lineage: Bacteria; Pseudomonadati; Campylobacterota; Epsilonproteobacteria; Campylobacterales; Arcobacteraceae. The record is from RNAcentral.
CGGUGGAGCAUGUGGUUUAAUUCGAAGAUACGCGAAGAACCUUACCUGCCUUGACAUUGAUAGAAUCUGGUAGAGAUACUGGAGUGCUAGCUUGCUAGAACUUGAAAACAGGUGCUGCACGGCUGUCGUCAGCUCGUGUCGUGAGAUGUUGGGUUAAGUCCCGCAACGAGCGCAACCCUCGUCGUUAGUUGCUAACAGUUAGGCUGAGAACUCUAACGAGACUGCCUUCGUAAGGAGGAGGAAGGUGAGGACGACGUCAAGUCAUCAUGGCCCUUACGGCCAGGGCUACACACGUGCUACAAUGGGGUGUACAGAAAGCUGCAAUAUCGCGAGAUGGAGCAAAUCUCAAAAACACCUCCCAGUUCGGAUUGUUCUCUGCAACUCGAGAACAUGAAGUUGGAAUCGCUAGUAAUCGUAGAUCAGCGUUGCUACGGUGAAUACGUUCCCGGGUCUU